GACGAACGCUGGCGGCGUGCCUAAUACAUGCAAGUCGAGCGAAGUUUUUCUGGUGCUUGCACUAGAAAAACUUAGCGGCGAACGGGUGAGUAACACGUAAAGAACCUGCCUCAUAGACUGGGACAACUAUUGGAAACGAUAGCUAAUACCGGAUAACAGUAUUUCUCGCAUGAGAGAUAUUUAAAAGUUGGUUAUGCUAACACUAUGAGAUGGCUUUGCGGUGCAUUAGCUAGUUGGUGGGGUAAAGGCCCACCAAGGCGACGAUGCAUAGCCGACCCGAGAGGGUGAUCGGCCACACUGGGACUGAGACACGGCCCAGACUCCUACGGGAGGCAGCAGUAGGGAAUCUUCCGCAAUGGGCGAAAGCCUGACGGAGCAACGCCGCGUGAGUGAAGAAGGAUUUCGGUUCGUAAAGCUCUGUUGUUAGGGAAGAAUGGAUAUGUAGUAACUAUACAUGUAAGAGACGGUACCUAACCAGAAAGCCACGGCUAACUACGUG
Molecule: ribosomal RNA, 499 nt
Filed under: uncultured bacterium
Lineage: Bacteria
Description: partial 16S ribosomal RNA
Rfam family: Bacterial small subunit ribosomal RNA
Source: RNAcentral